This 69-nucleotide small nucleolar RNA is filed under the name Chinchilla lanigera (long-tailed chinchilla). RNAcentral's name for it is "Small nucleolar RNA R38 (ENSCLAG00000020576.1)". Lineage: Eukaryota; Metazoa; Chordata; Mammalia; Rodentia; Chinchillidae. The record is from RNAcentral.
ACAAAUCUAUGAUUGUUAUCCCUGUCUGAAAAUCUCAACUGAAGGGAAAUAAUUCAUUCUGAGGUUUAG